RNAcentral lists this ribosomal RNA (395 nucleotides) under uncultured bacterium. Its description in RNAcentral is "partial 16S ribosomal RNA". It matches the Rfam family "Bacterial small subunit ribosomal RNA", at positions 338 to 730 of the family's 1533-position model. The record is from RNAcentral.
CCUACGGGAGGCAGCAGUGAGGAAUAUUGGUCAAUGGACGGAAGCCUGAACCAGCCAUGCCGCGUGAAGGAAGACGGCCCUAUGAGUUGUAAACUUCUUUUGUACAAGGGUAAACCUGAAUACGUGUAUUCAGCUUAAAGUACUGUACGAAUAAGGCUCGACUAACUCCGUGCCAGCAGCCCAGGUAAGACGGAGGAUCCCAGCGUUUUCCGGAUUUAUUGGGGUUAAAGGGUUCGGCGGCGGGUUGGUAAGUUAGUGGUGAAAUGUCCGAGCGUAAAUCGGGACCUGCCGUUAAUACUGUUGAUCUAGAGAGUGGGAGAGGUAGGCGGAAUGUACGGUGUAGCGGUGAAAUGCUUAGAGAUCGUACAGAACACCGAUUGCGAAGGCAGCUUACC